AACCAUUCUCACCUGCGGCUAGACCUGCGGAAGGAUCAUUAUCGAGUUGCAAAACUCCAACCCUUUGUGAACAUACCUCAGUCGUUGCUUCGGCGGUGGACGGCCUGUUUUUCGGAACGGCCGGAAGCCGCCGGAGGUUCCAAACUCGUAUUUUUUAGUGUAUCUCUGAGCCUGAAAACAAAUAAUCAAAACUUUCAGCAACGGAUCU
This 208-nucleotide unclassified non-coding RNA is filed under the name soil metagenome. RNAcentral describes it as "partial contains 5.8S ribosomal RNA, internal transcribed spacer 2, and large subunit ribosomal RNA". The record is from RNAcentral.